CCAAUAGCGUAUAUUAAAGUUGCUGCAGUUAAAAAGCUCGUAGUUGAAUUUCGGGACCAAUAUGUCGGUCGUGCCUCGGUACGUACUGGCAUCGUUGGUUUCUCCCUUCUGACGAACCAUGAUGUCAUUUAUUUGGUGUCGUGGGGAAUCAGGACUGUUACUUUGAAAAAAUUAGAGUGUUUAAAGCAGGCUCGCGCUUGAAUACAUUAGCAUGGAAUAAUGAAAUAGGACGUUUGAUUCUAUUUUGUUGGUUUCUAGGAUCGACGUAAUGAUUAAUAGGGAUAGUUGGGGGCAUUAGUAUUCAAUUGUCAGAGGUGAAAUUCUUGGAUUUAUUGAAGACUAACUACUGCGAAAGCAUUUGCCAAGGAUGUUUUCAUUAAUCAAGAACGAAAGUUAGGGGAUCGAAGACGAUCAGAUACCGUCGUAGUCUUAACCAUAAACUAUGCCGACUAGGGAUCGGAUGAUGUUGAUUUUUUAAUGACUCAUUCGGCGCCUUACG
RNAcentral lists this ribosomal RNA (499 nucleotides) under uncultured Glomeromycotina. Its description in RNAcentral is "partial small subunit ribosomal RNA". It matches the Rfam family "Eukaryotic small subunit ribosomal RNA", at positions 591 to 1092 of the family's 1831-position model. Lineage: Eukaryota; Fungi; Glomeromycota. The record is from RNAcentral.